RNAcentral lists this ribosomal RNA (550 nucleotides) under uncultured bacterium. RNAcentral describes it as "bacterial SSU rRNA". It matches the Rfam family "Bacterial small subunit ribosomal RNA", at positions 355 to 896 of the family's 1533-position model. The record is from RNAcentral.
UAGGGAAUCUUCCGCAAUGGGCGAAAGCCUGACGGAGCAACGCCGCGUGAGUGAUGAAGGUCUUCGGAUCGUAAAACUCUGUUAUUAGGGAAGAACAUAUGUGUAAGUAACUGUGCACAUCUUGACGGUACCUAAUCAGAAAGCCACGGCUAACUACGUGCCAGCAGCCGCGGUAAUACGUAGGUGGCAAGCAUUAUCCGGAAUUAUUGGGCGUAAAGCGCGCGUAGGCGGUUUUUUAAGUCUGAUGUGAAAGCCCACGGCUCAACCGUGGAGGGUCAUUGGAAACUGGAAAACUUGAGUGCAGAAGAGGAAAGUGGAAUUCCAUGUGUAGCGGUGAAAUGCGCAGAGAUAUGGAGGAACACCAGUGGCGAAGGCGACUUUCUGGUCUGUAACUGACGCUGAUGUGCGAAAGCGUGGGGAUCAAACGGGAUUAGAUACCCUGGUAGUCCACGCCGUAAACGAUGAGUGCUAAGUGUUAGGGGGUUUCCGCCCCUUAGUGCUGCAGCUAACGCAUUAAGCACUCCGCCUGGGGAGUACGACCGCAAGGUUG